CGGAGGAUCAUUAUUGAAAUAAACCUGAUGGGUUGUUGCUGGUUCUCUAGGGGACAUGUGCACGCCUUGUCAUCUUUAUAUCUCCACCUGUGCACUUUUUGUAGACCUUUCCAGGUCUAUGUUGCUUCAUUUUACCCCAACUGUAUGUCAUUAGAAUGUUGUGCCUAUGUAACAUAUACAACUUUCAGCAACGGAUCUCUUGGCUCUCGCAUCGAUGAAGAACGCAGCGAAAUGCGAUAAGUAAUGUGAAUUGCAGAAUUCAGUGAAUCAUCGAAUCUUUGAACGCACCUUGCGCUCCUUGGUAUUCCGAGGAGCAUGCCUGUUUGAGUGUCAUUAAUAUAACCUCAAACCUUUCUUUUGUUGAAGGGUUUGGAUGUGGGGGUUUUGCUGGGCCUCUUAAGAGGUUCAGCUCCUCUGAAAUGCAUUAGCAGAACAACCUUGCUCAUUGGUGUGAUAACUAUCUACGCUUAUGAAUGUGAGGGGCAGUUCAGCUUUCUAACUGUCUUUGGACAAUUCAUCAUUAAUGUGACCUCAAAUCAGGUAGGACUACCCGCUGAACUUAAGCAUAUCAAUAAGCGGAGGAAAAGAAACUAACAAGGAUUCCCCUAGUAACUGCGAGUGAAGCGGGAAAAGCUCAAAUUUAAAAUCUGGCGGUCUUUUGGCUGUCCGAGUUGUAAUCUAGAGAAGUGUUAUCCGCGCUGGACCGUGUACAAGUCUCCUGA
This 722-nucleotide ribosomal RNA is filed under the name uncultured Cortinarius. RNAcentral describes it as "eukaryotic LSU rRNA". The stretch from base 180 to 333 matches the Rfam family "5.8S ribosomal RNA". Lineage: Eukaryota; Fungi; Basidiomycota; Agaricomycetes; Agaricales; Cortinariaceae. The record is from RNAcentral.